Molecule: ribosomal RNA, 430 nt
Filed under: Brucella melitensis
Lineage: Bacteria; Pseudomonadati; Pseudomonadota; Alphaproteobacteria; Hyphomicrobiales; Brucellaceae
Also listed under: 1 other name
Description: partial 16S ribosomal RNA
Rfam family: Bacterial small subunit ribosomal RNA
Source: RNAcentral
UGGGGAAUAUUGGACAAUGGGCGAAAGCCUGAUCCAGCCAUGCCGCGUGUGUGAAGAAGGCCUUUUGGUUGUAAAGCACUUUAAGCGAGGAGGAGGCUACUUGGAUUAAUACUCUAGGGUAGUGGACGUUACUCGCAGAAUAAGCACCGGCUAACUCUGUGCCAGCAGCCGCGGUAAUACAGAGGGUGCGAGCGUUAAUCGGAUUUACUGGGCGUAAAGCGUGCGUAGGCGGCUUCUUAAGUCGGAUGUGAAAUCCCUGAGCUUAACUUAGGAAUUGCAUUCGAUACUGGGAAGCUAGAGUAUGGGAGAGGAUGGUAGAAUUCCAGGUGUAGCGGUGAAAUGCGUAGAGAUCUGGAGGAAUACCGAUGGCGAAGGCAGCCAUCUGGCCUAAUACUGACGCUGAGGUACGAAAGCAUGGGGAGCAAACAGG